CUCUCGGCUCCGGCCAGGAGAACCCGGCGGCAAGCAGGCGGCCCGCGCUCCUCGGCCGGCGGGAGGAGCCGCGGAGUCCUCCCAGCGUGCAUGUGAUGUCAGUGUGGUUGUUCCUCUUCCUCCACUUUCCUUCCCCUUGCCCUCCGCUCGGCGCGCGGCCACGCGGACGCGUAAGGCUUGUUUUUCUCCUCUCCUGAUGUCCUUUUGGGCCUAAUCGUGCGAAAAUGGCUUUUCUUUUUUUUUUUUUAAACCGUGCCACUUUGUGCCUUGGUUCUGUCAAUAAUCCCUUAGGGAUGGAGAUUUUAAGUGAGCAUGAUUCACGCACAGUUGUUUAAGGAAGUACAUUAGCGCUCCGCUGGGAAACGCGCGAACACGCAGACAGACAGGGUCCCAUUUUAAUAUAGCGCUCCUACGCUUUCUUUUGUGUUGGAAAAAGAUACAAGUAACGCCUGUCGCUUCAAGUUUCCCGAAAACAGGCGGGUCUGGAGUGUUUUCAAAACAUAUGACUGCGUUAAAAAUGCCUUCCGUUGGCUCUCAAAUCUUUCAUUAAGCCCCCUCUGAAAGGGAAAGGAAGCGCUGUGCAAACAAAAAUCCCACUGCCCUGUCUUUCCUAGGGUGGCUGCUGCAGGAGAGGGAGUGGGCACACACAAAGUUUUCCGCCCGGCCACCUUACGUUGUUUCCUCCCAGCUUCCGGAUCCAACGACUUUCCCGGCCUGAGGAGGGCGGUGCCGGCCGGAGGGAGGGGGCGGCGCGGAGGGUGGCGGCCCGAGAGGGCGCGCGGCCGCCGAUGUAGGUUAGAGCGGGCGGGGGCCGUGACGUGGGCGCCGAGCAGGCCCCUGAGCCGCAGCUGAGUGCGCAUGCUCCGCACGGACGUGACUCUAUGCAAUUGGCACUUGCAGCCUCAUUAAACGAAAUGCACAUUCCAGGGAUCAAGGGAAACAGCGCGAUCUAUAGCCAGAGCCUUCGCGUCACCGCGCAGGCCCCGCCCCCGCCGGCUAUUUCUGGUCCUUCAGGUCCCUCCCUCAGCCGGGCUAAACUUGUACUCCAGGUAGCGCCAGGCGCCAGUGUUGGGGAGUGGGCGAGUGUCGGCGGCGGCCGGCGUGUUCCGCCGAGGGCCCCGCGGGCUCAGAGGGGCGACCGGCGGGGGCUGGUUCACAGGCUGCACGUGCAGUUGUCGUGCAGGCCGGGGCCGUUGGCAGCUGGGUGCUGUGAUGGGAGGCGGGUUUGUACUGUCCACGCAGCCAGGCCGGUGUCCGCCCUCCCUCGGCGCCGACCCGCCUGACGCGAAGGGGUCUGCGACAGCAGACUGUGCUGGGACCGCGGUCCUCCGCCACGGUCUGCAGCCAUAGACUCUGCCCAGACUGACUUGAACACUUGAGUUUCACACUUUUAUCGGGAGGAGGAGCUGAUUUGUUUUAUGGUAAAUCACUUUGGCUGGUCGUUAGUCUCGCUGACUAAUACACGCGGGCUUAGUCACUCUCUCAGUCGGGACUUUUACACUUCAGCUUUGUCAGGGCGGCCGCUGGAGCUGCUUUUGUUGGGAACACAGGCCUACUUCUCUGCCUUAGACUGGAAUGAGCUGGUUAAGUGUGGGAAGAACAGGGUACUAAUUAUAUUUUCCCUACAACUGGAUUGGUAGGUGGAGAGAGAAGAAAAUCCUGCUGACGUUUCUCUUCUGUUGUUGCUGUUGAAAAUGCCAGGUUGCUUGAAGGGAUUAACCACAAGGAAGAGGAAGAACACCCUCAGAGAAACAGUGAAGGAAGCUGCUUUAAGCACAUGAGAAAACCUGUUCGAAAAUGGCAGGGAGAACAAUGUCAGACCUGAGUGUUUUUACAGGCUAACCCCGAAUGAGCUUUCUCGGGGAUUUCCAGAGAAGAAGGUGUGCCCCAUUAAGUGUCUCCCCAUCGUGCUCCACAUUUUGCCCUGAAGGAGCAAUCCCGCCUCAACCUCCUGAACUGGGAGAAUGGGGCCUGCCUGGACCCUUCCUGGGAGCAGCUAGUGAGAGUAGGUUUGGUCAGUCCCAUCCCUGGCUGUGGCUGGUAGCACACCUCCUUCAAGGACCUCCUCUCCUCCCCCUUCCCCCCGCAAUUCAGGCUGGGAGCUGAAACCCUGUGCCAAUAAUACCAGCACGUGACUUUUCCCACCUGGCCAAUGCCCAGAGGGGAUGAGCCCAGUCUUGGCGCUGCAGAGAGAUCAGCCAUCUCAAUGCGCCCCAGAGACUGCCCCACUAGCCAGUGACUGAAACAUUAAAAGGAAACCACAACUCGCCAUUAGAACCAUGGCCUAAUUAUAUUCAUUUACCUGCCAGCGACCACUGUAACGCCCUUAAGGGAGAGGCUACCGUACCCAAACAAAUACAAAUUGAGCCUUGAAAGGUAACGAAGAGUCUUUGUGGAACAUAGAUUUUCUUCUCCAGCAGAAAAGCAUUACCUUUUUAUUUUACACCGCCACUUUAAUGUCAAAACAGAGUUGUUGUAACUUCCCUAAUGAAAUGCCUGCUGGAAAAUGGAGAAGCUAUUUUCGCUCUGGGCUCUCCCGCCAUAAAAGGAUCCGGGAUCAAGAGGGUUAAGGCUGGCCCUGAGUUCGGGGCAGGGAUGCCUUAUAUUGUACCAAAAGUCUUUCAUGCUGCCUGCCCUUUCAUGUAGCUUAGAAGCUGUGAUGUAUGCUAAGUAAACAUAGCUUUGUUUUUGUCUUCCACCCACCCUCCCCGUGCAAAGCAGAGUUGGAACCUUCCAAAGCAGCUGCUGCAGCAGUUACAGCGCCUCCUCCACACACAGGAGCAGGGCUUUCAGGGUGAGGCAAUGCGUCUGCAAUUCGCAGGGACAAGGCAGGAAUUGUAAUUGUACUUCAUCAUGUGAUGACUUAUGAAAGAGGAAGUUGGGAUGUUUUAGUCACGUAGACUCUGCCCUCCUGCUUAAGGCCCCAGGUCCUCUCACAGGAUAAUUAUGAUCCUGGUUGCCACUUAGUCAAGGUUACCGGGUUGGUCGCAGUGGACAGGCAGGCGGAUGCCUAGCCAAGUGCUGGUGAGGCGGUAGGUUGAGGCUAGCUUUUAAGUAGAACGCUGAAAUGCCGCCAUUUGUCUUAAGAACUAAAGGAAAUAGACUACGGGGAACAUGCCUGCUGAGACUAGAGAACCAAACAGUCCUUCUCAGCUCUAAAGUUGAAGUUUUGUUUUGUUUUGUGUUUUUUUAAAUAAAACCCCAGGAGCAAAAGGAAAGCUAUCCACUACACCAUCAAAAGGAAUUGGAUACCCAUACCCCCGCCUCCCCGUUGCCAUCGAGUCGGUUUCAACCCAUAGCGACCCUAAAGGACAGAGUAGAACUGCCUCAGGAUUUCCAAGGAGCACCUGGUGGAUUCGAACUGCCAACCUUUUGGUUAGCAGCCUUAGCUCUUAAUCACUACGCCACCAGGUUGUCCAGGAUUUGGAUAGGGAACAGUUGUAAGAGCACUAGCUCCAUGGGUAGAGCAAAUCUGACUCCCACGUUGUGAUUUACGUGAGUUUCCAUUGUUGGAAAACUAAACAUCUAAAAUCAUAAUCUGCUGCCCGGAGCUUAUUCUAGCCCGUAUGCUCUUCCUAACACACUGUACCCUGUACUGGCUGCGGAUAGGGCAGGAGCCUAACUCUGCCCUCAGGACACACAGCCGUGUGAGGGUGCAGCCACGAGCCCUAGCACCUUGUGGGGUGCUGGCCAGGAGAUGGCAUUCCGAGGGACUGCUGAGUUCAUGAGUUUCACCCUUUAUCCAGAGGUGGAAGUACAGCCUUCAUCCUUUAGAAUGUGGGGGGAAAAAAAGUGUUUUUUUUUUUUUUUUUUUGUAGCUUCUAUUAAUAACCUGCUGUUGCAACCAUACUAAAGCUUCUUAAACUCUGACCCUGGGAUAUUUGAAGGAGAAAAAAAAUGCAAACACAUGUCAUUUGGAUUUCUGCUGGUACUUGAGCAAAAGUACAAUUGGCUAGAAGAACGCUUGUAAUGUGCAGAGCUUUUUCCAUUUAAAAGAAGUUAUAAAUCUAUAUUUGAAUGUACUCGUUGAUAUGAAUACAUCUUCCCGUACUAUGGAGAGUCGUGACAUAACGGGGUAUUCUGUAAUGUAUGCGAAAGCCUGUCCUCUAAAUAAUAGCAUUUUCUGACACAAUUCCACUGCUGUUCAAAUUACAAAUACACUUUUUUAGAAAUACUUUCCCUCUGUUUGACCUCUCCCUCUAGCCUCCUCUUCUGUGCACAAGAGAGCAUUCAGAUAUUAGUGAGGCUCUUAUGUGGAAGAGAGAAAUUCUCCGUGGAGGGUCUAAGAAUCAGGCCACAUAAAAUCACAGGAGCCCUUAAUCAUCCACAUAUUAUACACAGAAGCUGUUAGUCACCAGCCUAUGUGUAAACAAGUACAGUCUCCCAUUUAGAGCAAAAUUUGGGGUCCUGAUACAAGCUAACUGCUUACUGUGUCAGAAUUUUAAGAGCUGAGUGAAAAAUACAAAGGAGAGAUUGAGGUCACACACUCGCUCAGUCUACAAGGAAAUUUGUAGGAGAACUGGAAGGGAUUCAACAGCCAUUUGAUGCCAAAACCCUCCUAUUGACUUUUUGGAAAGAGCGAGAUGAAAUGCACUUUUCUGGAAUAGUAUCUGGGUGUGGGUUUAACUUAUAUUUAAGACACUCACAAAAAACUUUUAAAAGAAAAAACCUUUAAAGAGGUCAGUGGGAAGACACUGACAAAACAGUGAACUAACUUCACUGAUAAAGUUAGAAAAUAUUUAAAAUGGUAAAUUCCCUCUCAUUAAAGCAUACUUAAUUACAUUAUUUUAAAAUGUAACUUUUCUACAUGUACAUCCAGAGGGAAGGGAAUGAGAAAACACGAUGGUGUAACAAUUGCAAAAGUUAAGAAUAUUAUGUUGUGUGCCUGGUGAGUCGAUUCUCGUAUUUAUUAUAUUUUUCAUAUGGACAUUUAAAAAAUAUGUUUCAAGCAUAAAUUCUCCUAUAUUCGUCCUCCUUCAGAAAUGUUAAGUGGUGGUUUCCCUAAAGUAACAUUAAAAGUGAGUACCAGGAAUGAAAUCCAGGUAUCAGUCCUGUUUUCUAAUGAUAUAGUCUAGAAUAUAUUUAAGGAGCCCUGGCGGUGCAGAGUCACUAUGAGUUGGAAUUAACUUGAAGGCAGUGGGUUUUGGUUUGGGUUUGGUUUUUGGUUUUGGUUGGUGGUGCAGUGGUUAAGUGCUCAGCUGCUAACUGCAAGGUCUGAGAUUCAAACCGACCAAUGGCUCUAUGGGAGAAAAGACCUGGCGAUCUGCUCCCAUUAAGAUUUCAGUCUAGGAAACAGUAUGGGGGCAGUUCUACUCAGUCCUAUAGGGUCGCUAUGAGUCAGAAUUGAAUCGACAGCACACAACAACAACAACAACAGAACAUAUUUGCAUUUAAAAAAUUAUGUAAGCAUAAUUUAAAUGCCCAGAAAAAGAGACUUCUAAAUGUUCAGAUUUGUUUGUAUCUGUAUUCUUAUUUAUAGGGGAAAAAAAAAAUCUAGUAUAGUUCAUAGGACACUCAAAAAAACAUAGCAUUGGACACUCAAUCCAUGGAAAAACAAGCAUUCACAAUAGGUAGUGGGAGAUGGUAGAGAUGAGGGACAGUUGCCACAAUACUAUGUCCAGCGUGAAACUCCUUAAAUGGCAAACCACUUCGUGCUGGUCUUUAUAACCUUAGAUAAAUACUGAUGUUGGUGUUAGGAUAAAAAAUUCAAUUCUGAGAUUUCAUUGGGCAAUGAAAUGGUUUUAGCACUCAACCAAUUUGGAAUGCCAUACCUCCAACUCUUUGUGACCCAUUUCCUUAAAAAUAAAGAAAAAAAUCAUGAAAUCAUUUAAUUCCUAUCAUAAGACUCCAAUCUUGACUACUUUGCACUCAGAUAAAUAAAUACAAUGGACUACAGGGUAUUGAAAAUAAAAAAUAUGAAGCCACGUAUUUCAUGGAAUUUUAUGGUUGUAAGGGGAGCUAUACGAAGCAACCCUGGUGGUGGUGGUGCAGUGGUUAAGAGUUAUGGCUGCUAACCAAAAGGUCGGCAGUUUGAAUCCACCAGCCUUUUCUUGGAAACCCUCUGGGGCAGUUCUACUCUGUCCUUUAGGGUUACUAUGAGUCGGAAUCAACUUGAUGGCAACGAGUUUGAUUUGGUUUGGGUUAUAGGAAGCAGAAUGAUCAUAACUUAUUCAAAUAUGCCUUCAUUGUUAUUGUUUGUAUUUCUUAUGCAAUAGCCAAUAUGAACUAGACUGACUUUCUCUUGAGAAGAUGAAAAUAUAUUUUGCAAAAGAAUGACAAUCAACCGGAAAAUUUGGUCUUUACCAACGGAGCAUCAGUAAUCUGUUCUGGUGGCUUACUUGCUCUGGUCUGAUAUGCUUAGCCAAAAAGUGUAGGGUUGUUGUUUUUAAAAUUAUUUUAUGUACACAGUGGGUAUUCCAAUGAUAUUUCUCAAAGAUCUAAGUGUUUAACAAUAAAAUCCUUUCAUAUAUAUAUAUAUAUAUAUAUACACAUAUAUAUAUAUAUCAGUUGUAAGUAUGUAAGGGAGACAGAGCUCCUUGAUGAAAGGAUAAAAGGAGGGAAAGUUAAAAAGACUAAUUGUAGACUAUAAUUUAUUAAUCGGAGUGAACUUCUGUAUUGCAUUGACUCAUCUUUCCCUAUGCCCACAUGAUCAUACUCUUUGCCAGAGGGAGUGCAAAAGCAUUGAGAAAAUUAAGAUUCACAGCCAGAACUGAAGUCAAUACAGGGCAGAAGAAAACUAAAUACACGGGAGCAGGCAGCCCUCACAGGUUUGAGCCCUCACAAAAGACCACUAGUGGCCAGAAAUAGUGAAAUGGAUUCUCUAAAGUGACUGCCUACAUGUAGUAUGUUUACUAAAAAGCUUGUCACAGACAGCUAAAAUGCAAAUACAAAUGAACUUCAAUGGACUUGUUGGCAAGCCUCCCCAGCCCUUCCAGCGAAUUCCUGAUUGAGGAAGUUAGUUCUGAAACAUGCCUGGAAACUUCAUAUAUGUGAACUACCUUGGGGCUGUUAUCUCUUAGCAUUUAUAGGUAUCUGAAUGUUAAAUAUUUUUCAGACUGCUUCUAUUUUACCUAUUCAUAUGUGCUUUAUCAGACCAGUUUGUUAUUCUUAACAACUGCUAAGAAUAUCAGUGUCUGUUUACUUUAUGAAUUUGGUAACUGAGGCACCCAGAUGAGGAAUUUGCCUUAAGACAGAGAAAAUCUACAGGUAAACAACAGCUAGAAUCCAGGUUUCCCAAACUGCAGUUCCUUCUUCAGUCCACUGGCGUGCUACCUCCUAUUUUUAUUUUCUUCACAGGUUCAUACAUGUGAAUAUCCGCACAGCAGAGAGCUGAGGGGCCAACGAUUCUCUUCAGACACUUGGCAUAUGAUCGGAGGCAGGUCACUUGGACACUCUGGGCCAGAGUUUUUCUUGAGUGGAAGAGGGACACUGGACUUCAUGUCAUUUCUGCCCUGACCCUUCGUCUGUUGAAGCCAAUAAAGCCAGCACAGGGAAUAAGGGCUUGGAACUAGUUCUUCCCGGUUCAGUCAUGGCCGAAGAAGCAAAGCUGGAACAGACCUAAAUUUUUUAAAUUUGGGCGAACUGGAAUGAUAAUGGAAAAAAAUUGCAGGUGGAAGCCCUGCUAGAAACAUAAUCUCCCUCUUAGAAAACAAGGGCAGUGUAAGCAGUGCAUAGCAAGCAAAUCUCCUGUCCCUCAAAUUUUGAGCUGAGGCAGGAACAGCAGUGCCCUGCCCAAAGAUGGCGGCCAGCUGCGCUACUUUGAAUGUGUGUAGCUCUCCACAGUCUUGGCAAUAAUUCAGUUUCCGGCAUCCGGCUCCUGGAACGGCUCACUAUGCCUCUUCCAAGUCUCCCAUUCCAGGGCUUCAACCUGUAGUUUUUCCCGUCCCAGCUAUUGGGAUUCCCCAAUUGUAAAAAUUCGGACUUGUUCCAAUUUCACUUUGAACUGGUUUUCUUAUACAGAUUCACAUACUUAAAUAUGUUUAUUUAAAUAUCUCCAAAUUUAAAUUGAAUACGGAAAGUGCACCAUCUCUAGACUCAGACCCACAAUUUGAGACCUUCGUCUACAAGCUCGGAGCUUGCUUUUCCAUGUGGCCAGGCUUCCUGCUGAAACCUCUAGCUGUCCUUAGAAAAGCCGAUGAGAUACCCUUGGGCUGAAUGAAUGAGAACUUUCUGGAGAACGGAAGACUGGUGGAAGUCCAGCUGGAAAAACAUAUGGCAGCAGACGUGGAAAGAGCACUUCAUGACCAGGAGCUUUAUAAAAAAUAUCUGAAAGCUCAAGGCAGCCGUUACAACCUAAGAUCUUACUAAGCAUGAUGGAUGUUCUUACUUCUAGGACUGCCUCCAACUCACCUGGACCACAGCCAGCGCCGCAUCCUCAGGCGCCCCACGGGAUGGUGCAUGCAGGAGACUAGCAUCAAUCGCAUCCAGUCUCCCAGGCCAGGGUUCCAUCUCGGCUCCGCCUGCCUUCCCCUCUCUCUGCAUGGGGGCGGGGCAGUAGAUGAUUCUGGGAACACAUGAGGUGGCCCCUUAUUCUGUUGUCCUGAAAGAAAACAAAAUUUGUAAACCACUGCAGAUAGUGUGUUUUAUAAUAGAUGUGUUGGGAGGGAAAUUGACUAUGGAAAAUUCUCUUCUUAACCACUCAGGAACUCAGACGGAACAGUUUUGAGCUACGCAGUGACGUAGACUGAGCUGGUGGAGCAGAGCCAGUUGGUGUGAGUUGUUCAGAGCAGGGCACCAUGAGGAGAGGGCAUCUACAGACAAAUGCACGGUCCUUGCCAGUGUCAUUUCCAAAAUAUUGACAAGAAAUAUUUGACUUUUCCGUGUUAAUGCCCCAUCAUAAAAAAAGCCAAACCCAUUGCUGCUGAGUCUAUCCUGACUCUUAGCGACCCUAUAGGACAGAGUAGAACUAACCCCCAUAGUUUCCAAGGAGCACCUGGUAGAUUUGAACUGCCGACCUUUUGGUUAGCAGCAGUAGCACUUAACCACUGCACCACCAGGGUUUCCUGCCCCAUUAUAAUUACCUCAUUGCUAAUAGCCAUUUGUAUCUGUAACAGAGAACCCAUUUAUUUCAAAUACAGGUAUAACUACCUUGAUAAACACUCUGUAUUGAAUGCUGUAUCCCUUAGAAAAGAGAUAAAUCAGAGGAUGAUUAUUCAGAAUUACAAAAGAACACUUUAUAAAGUCUGCAAAUCACCAUUGGAUUUUUUGUUUGUUUUAAAUAGUUAGUUUCUCUAGUAUAUUUCAAUAUUGUUGUUGCUAGCUGCAAUCUAGUUGGCUCUGACUCAUGGCAACAGAACAAACAUUGCAUGGUCCUGAGUCAUCGUCAUGAUCAUUGUAUGCUCAAGGCGAUUGUUGCAGCCACUGUAUUUUUUAAGUGACUUCCAACCUAAGGGGCUCAUCUUCCAGCACUGUAUCAGACAAUUUUUUUUUGUGAUCCAUAGGGUUUUACUGGCUUAUUUUUGGAAGUAGAUCACUAGUCCUUUCUUCCUAGUCUGUUUUUGUCUGGAAUCGCCCCUGAAACCUGCCCACCGUGGGUGUCCCUGCUGGUAUUUGAAAUACUGGUGGCAUAGCUUCCAGCACCAUAACAACACACAAGCCACCACAGUAUGACAAACUGACAGAUGAGUGGUGGACACUUAAAUAGGAGUAGAUUUUUUUAAAUGUAAUGAAAGUACACUUUUUAAAGAUACACAUAGGUUGUAUUCCAGAAGUAUACAUGUGUAGCACUUUUUAUCCGUAACAACGCCAUCCAUAACACAAUGUGUUGCUGAUACUGCUGUAUUUCUUCAACAUACAAUACUUUCUCCCUUCCACCUUCUUUGAUGGCUGGUUUGCCACUAUCUUCUCUAAGCAAUGGCAAUGAUAGAAGCAGCAGUUUAGUAUAGGCACAAAAAUCAGGGCCUAACUUUAUUAGCCAAAUAUUUUUACAGUUAUCUAUCUAGCUUUCUCUUUGUCCCUGUAUACACAUUUCCAAGGUAUAUAUUUUCAGUACUAGACAGAGAGAGGCGAACAGGUCAGUUGCACUUAUUUCAUGCUGAAAAGCAAUGCCAUUAACUUUUGAGGAGAAAAAAAAAGCCAUUUAUAGCCCUUUGUGCUCAGAUUGUUAUUUUCCUCUUAUGAACUCAGAGUAAAAGUCAAGAUGACCAAGUAUCCUUUUUUAAAAAUGCUAUCAGGUGAUGCUGGAAGCUAUGCCAUUGGUUCACAUAGCAGCAAGGUGGACAGGUUUCCAUGGAACGUCCAGACUAAGAAAGACUAGAAAGAAAGGCCUGUCAAUCUACUUCCAAAAAUAAGUCAUUGAAAACCUCAUGGAUCACAACAGAGCAUUGUCUAAUAUAGACCUGGAAGAUGAACUCCUAGGUUGGAAGAUGCUUAAAAUAAACAGUGGCCACAGCAAUGGACUUGAGCAUAUCAAUGAUUGUGAAGGUGGCACAGGACCAGGCAAAGUUUUGUUCUGUUGUAUAUGGGGUUGCCAUGAGUCGGUGCCAACUACACAGCAAUUAACAAAACAACAAACUUUCUAGAUGUUUAGAAGUGCAGACGUAUUCAAAAGUAUAGAUAUUAAAAUAAUAUUUGCAAAAAGCUUUUAAAAAUUGAUGGGAAAUAUUGUCUUUGAAAAUAGAAUUGUUAAACCACCUCUGUGGACAUCAUACUCUGUACUUGUUCAUUGGGUUGCAGGAGGUGGGAAAGAAAAAUUCGCAAAAGGAGUUUUGCUAGUGUGUACUAGAAAAUUUCAGAUUACCCAUUGUCCAUGUACAUGUAUCUUCUAUGCAUUUUAUUUAACUGGUGGUGCAGUAGUUAAAGCAAUUGACUGCUAACCGAAAGGUCAGCGGUUCAAAACCACCAGCCGCUCUGGGGGAGAAAGCUGUGGCAGUCUGCUUCCGUAGAGAUUUACGGCCCUGGAAACCCUGUGGGGUUGUUGUGAGUCUGAAAUCGACUCCAAGGCGGUGGUUUUUUUUUUUUUUUUUUUCUUAAAUCAGGUCAUAUGUUUU
Molecule: long non-coding RNA, 10988 nt
Organism: Loxodonta africana (African savanna elephant)
Lineage: Eukaryota; Metazoa; Chordata; Mammalia; Proboscidea; Elephantidae
Exons: 3
Source: RefSeq, a predicted model, not a curated record